Chelonoidis abingdonii (Abingdon island giant tortoise) is the source of this 182-nucleotide non-coding RNA. The record is from RefSeq and is a predicted model, not a curated record. NCBI's taxonomy places the organism in Eukaryota, Metazoa, Chordata, Testudines, Testudinidae.
UCAGGAAGAAACUUCUCUUAUGGGCAGAUAACUUCUUCAGAUAAAGAAUAUUUCUUCUCCCAACCCACCCUGCCUCAUACCUACAGUACCCCGCAGCAACAAGAGAGCUCAGUGACAUGAAAAGAAUGGAACAUGACAACAGCGGCAGAACGCGACAGCGGAGACCACCUCUGAAGAAAUGC